AUACGAAGGGUGCAAGCGUUAAUCGGAAUUACUGGACGUAAAGCGCGCGUAGGUGGUUCGUUAAGUUGGAUGUGAAAGCCCCGGGCUCAACCUGGGAACUGCAUCCAAAACUGGCGAGCUAGAGUACGGUAGAGGGUGGUGGAAUUUCCUGUGUAGCGGUGAAAUGCGUAGAUAUAGGAAGGAACACCAGUGGCGAAGGCGACCACCUGGACUGAUACUGACACUGAGGUGCGAAAGCGUGGGGAGCAAACAGGAUUAGAAACCCUAGUAGUCC
Molecule: ribosomal RNA, 274 nt
Filed under: uncultured bacterium
Lineage: Bacteria
Description: partial 16S ribosomal RNA
Rfam family: Bacterial small subunit ribosomal RNA
Source: RNAcentral